GUUAAGGGGUUUGUUGUCUGGCUCGAGGCAUCCGGACUCCGGUUACAGCUUUCUCCUUUCCUCCUUGAGGUGCCUAGCUUCCGGCGAGCUCGGAGCCUCGGACCAGGCUUCAAUCCCUUUAAC
This 123-nucleotide microRNA precursor is filed under the name Oryza punctata. RNAcentral's name for it is "pre miRNA mir-166". It matches the Rfam family "mir-166 microRNA precursor family". From Rfam's summary of the family: This family represents the plant microRNA (miRNA) precursor mir-166. Animal miRNAs are transcribed as ~70nt precursors and subsequently processed by the Dicer enzyme to give a ~22nt product. In plants the precursor sequences may be longer, and the carpel factory (caf) enzyme appears to be involved in processing. The record is from Rfam by way of RNAcentral. Lineage: Eukaryota; Viridiplantae; Streptophyta; Magnoliopsida; Poales; Poaceae.